GAGAUGACAAUGUACUUUCAUCGACUUUUUGUCGACCCCAAAUUUUACCUUUUAAGUACUUUUUUGGGCAUUUUCGUGAUUUGGGNUAUAUUACGGAACCCAAANUACUUGUUCAUGCAUUGUUAUAGNAUAUUUUCAUGCAUCAAAGCUCGUUAAGACUAGAUGGGGUAUCCCUACAUAGCUGGUGGGACCCACGGCGAAUGGUUCAUCAAGUUUUCAAAAAAGUAUAUAUACGAUUGCAUUGCAUAUACUAACGGAUGNGAUCAUACCAGCACUCAUGCACCGGAUCCCAUCAGAACUCCGCAGUUAAGCGUGCUUGGGCGAGAGUAGUACUAGGAUGGGUGACCUCCAGGGAAGUCCUCGUGUUGCAUCCCUCUUCUUAUGUUUAACCUUUUUUUUUUUGGUUUACACUUUAUGACUCCAUAANCUUANUANNACAG
Molecule: ribosomal RNA, 440 nt
Filed under: Arabidopsis thaliana (thale cress)
Lineage: Eukaryota; Viridiplantae; Streptophyta; Magnoliopsida; Brassicales; Brassicaceae
Source: RNAcentral